UCCUAAAAUCAAUCAUGGGUUUCUCUCUGCUGAUCAGCAGCUCAUUAAACGCCGCCUCAUUAAGGGUGACCAAGGGCAGGCUGGGCCUCCAGGACCUCCAGGCCCUCCCGGCCCAAGAGGGCCUCCUGGGGACACAGGGAAAGAUGGCCCUCGUGGAAUGCCAGGAGUGCCUGGUGAAUCAGGGAAACCAGGAGAACAAGGCUUGAU
Molecule: long non-coding RNA, 207 nt
Organism: Lynx canadensis (Canada lynx)
Lineage: Eukaryota; Metazoa; Chordata; Mammalia; Carnivora; Felidae
Exons: 3
Source: RefSeq, a predicted model, not a curated record